RNAcentral lists this ribosomal RNA (450 nucleotides) under uncultured bacterium. Its description in RNAcentral is "partial 16S ribosomal RNA". It matches the Rfam family "Bacterial small subunit ribosomal RNA", at positions 338 to 795 of the family's 1533-position model. The record is from RNAcentral.
CCUACGGGUGGCUGCAGUAAGGAAUAUUGGUCAAUGGAGGAAACUCUGAACCAGCCAUCCCGCGUGAAGGAUGAAGGGGCUCUGCCUUGUAAACUUCUUUUGUCUGGGGCGAAAAAGCUCGAUUUAUCGAGAACUGACGGUACCAGAAGCAUAAGCACCGGCUAACUCCGUGCCAGCAGCCGCGGUAAUACGGAGGGUGCAGGCGUUAUCCGGAAUCACUGGGUUUUAAGGGUUUUAAGGAGGCUUAGGUGAAAGGCUGUGGCUUAACCAUGGAAUUGCCAUUGAUACUGCAGAGCUUGAAUGAGGUUGAGGUUGGCGGAAUGUGACAUGUAGCGGUGAAAUGCUUAGAUAUGUCAUGGAACACCGAUUGCGAAGGCAGCUGACUGGACCUAUACUGACGCUGAGGCACGAAAGCGUGGGGAGCGAACAGGAUUAGAUACCCUGGUAGUC